Molecule: ribosomal RNA, 500 nt
Filed under: Rhizobium sp. DASA12010
Lineage: Bacteria; Pseudomonadati; Pseudomonadota; Alphaproteobacteria; Hyphomicrobiales; Rhizobiaceae
Description: partial 16S ribosomal RNA
Rfam family: Bacterial small subunit ribosomal RNA (bases 14-294)
Source: RNAcentral
CCGCAGGUGACAUGGGUUUAUUCAAGCAACGCGCAGAACCUUACCAGCUCUUGACAUUCGGGGUAUGGGCAUUGGAGACGAUGUCCUUCAGUUAGGCUGGCCCCAGAACAGGUGCUGCAUGGCUGUCGUCAGCUCGUGUCGUGAGAUGUUGGGUUAAGUCCCGCAACGAGCGCAACCCUCGCCCUUAGUUGCCAGCAUUUAGUUGGGCACUCUAAAGUGACUGCCUGAGACAAGCCUUAAUUAUCUAGUGCAUGACACCAAUCCACUCAUUUACCAAUCCAGCUUUGUCUUCACCGUGAACAAAUUAUAAUUCGAAUUGAUACCCUAUCAUUGUUUCUCACCCCAUUCUGCUAUUAAUCGCUGGCACUAUAAAUUUUAUUUAUAACUGCAAUAAUCUAUACCAAUUUGCGUUCCAACUACCUCCCUUGUGUUGUAAUUUACAUACCCCACUACAUUUAUUUCCUCCGGAAUCAAAAAAAUUAUUUCCAAUAUAAUAGAGG